CCAGCGAUUGUUUCAGUUAUUGCCUGUUGUUGCAAAAUAAACUUUUGUUAACCUUCUCCGUUUCCGCUCCUGGGUCUCUCUCUGCACCCGCCGUCACACAUUAUACAAUAUAGUAGAGCAUCACUUGUGUUGUUUAAGUGGAACAUUUCUCCUCUUAAUCUGGCCCCAGCUUGAGUCUCUCCUCUGGUGCAGCCAAGAACAGUUGAUAUUUGACCUCCUGCUCCUCUCUGCUGACACCAUGAGUUCUGCUGUAAACUUGGAUUUGUGGUUUGGUGUUCUUGUCUUGUCCUAUUCUAACUGAUGGUGACAAACUAACCACAGCGAUGAUUGUACGUUUUACGUCCACUGGUUUUCCUUUGACCUCUUUUUGGAAGAGAGCUGUCUCUGUGCCUGUCUCAGGUCUGCCACACCUGUCUCUGGUUCCUGGAUCAGCCACACCUGAACUUCAUCAGAUCGUCAGUGGAGCUGCAUAGCAACCCUCAGAGACCUCGUUCUGUGCCAUGUGACCACAGAGCUGUCUGUUGGUUUGGUACUCUUGUUGACUUAUUUGGGUUUUCUGCCAUUCAUUUUGCUGACUUUUCCCCUCUUCUAAGGACAGUUAGUGAGCUGUGAAGUGUGUUUUUUGUUCUGAGGCCAAUUGAUUUUUCUAUCCAGUUAGUGUGGCUUUUUUUUUUAUUUUGGCCUUGGAGACCCUGAAACCUUUUACUUCCACUUCUGUGACAUGAGUUGGUGUUCCUCUGUUGAUCAUUGCCUUUCUGUCAAUUAAUGUCAUUCAUUGUCAGUCUUUUAAUGUUUCAGAAAAGUUGUUUGGUUGAACUUGUUAUUUUCUUCCUUGUGUUCCCCCUUUGAACCAACAAGGAAGGAAAAAAAACUCUGUUCUCUGAUUGGUCACACUCUUUGAAAGUCCUCAUUUGCAAAAUAGACAAUUUGACCAAUAGUCAAACAAAUAAAUUGCAUCUAAAAUACAGAAAUAACAAUUUAUGAAAUAAAUAAAGAUUAAAACCUGACCUCACUGUGAUUGAAUUCAAAUUGUCCACUUUGAGCUCCACACUGAGCUGUGUAUUAUGUUCCUCACUGAACCCAUAAAGAACACAGCAGCUCCACUGAUAUGAGGGAAACUGAUCUAUUAUAGCAUGUUGGUACAGUUUCUGAUGUGCUACAUUAAUCCUGCUGCACGGUGGACUUGAGUGUUUUAUCACCACAUGACAGAAGUGCAAUCAGAGGAAACUUGAGUGAAAUGACACAGAUAUUAUAAUGGAGUCUGGUCAUGUAAAGAUCAAUAUUAAAACAAAGCCAAACAUGUUUGUGUGAAUGCGCAGUGGGAACAGAUUUGACCUGAAACUGAUGUAACUGUGCUGACGGAUGAUUUUCUUUGGACUCUGAAACAAACGUUUUGUCUCCUCACACAAACAGCUCUUUGUUUGACUAUGAAGGUGGAGUUUUGAAUGGCUGCUGUGCAUCACUGCUCCUAAAGCAGUUUAAGAUGAACCACUGAGACAAGUCUGUGCAGUCUGUCUGACAGUGAGAUGAGCCAUGAUGAUGAUGUUUCUGACUCCACUGCUGACCACGCUGCUGUUCGGACUUCAAGGAUCAGGUGCCAGUCCAUCUGUGACUCAGUCUCCUGCAUCAAAGGCUGUCAGUGUUGGAGAGACGGUCUCUCUGAGCUGUACAGCCAGUAGAGGAGCUGAUGAUGAUCUCAGCUGGUACCUGCAGAAACCUGGACAGCCUCCCAAACUGCUGUUUUACAAAAUAAGCAGCCGUGAGACUGGUACUCCGAGUCGGUUCAGCAGCAGCGGAUCUGAACCUGAAUUCACUCUGACCAUCAGUGGAGUUCAGGCUGAGGAUGCAGCAGAUUACUACUGUAUGGGAGUGUAUGUUGGUGCGUCACACAGUGAUUUGUAGCUGUACAAAAACCUCCCUCAGUCAGACUGCAGAGACACUGAGCUGUUACAGCACGAAGCGACUGCAGCUGCUGAAGAGGAAGAGACUCUGACACAGACCACUGAACACAGAGCUGACAGUCACCUCACCAAGCACAAACUACACACUCACAUUAAUAAAUUGAUUAGAAACAUGGGUAAAG
Chelmon rostratus (copperband butterflyfish) is the source of this 2083-nucleotide non-coding RNA. Lineage: Eukaryota; Metazoa; Chordata; Actinopteri; Chaetodontiformes; Chaetodontidae. The record is from the annotation of a RefSeq genome assembly.